RNAcentral lists this ribosomal RNA (495 nucleotides) under uncultured eukaryote. RNAcentral's name for it is "SSU rRNA". It matches the Rfam family "Eukaryotic small subunit ribosomal RNA", at positions 650 to 1157 of the family's 1831-position model. The record is from RNAcentral.
GAGGGUGCCGCCGUCCGGCGUGUCCGUGUCUUUUGGCGCCCUUCCAUCCUUCUGUUAGCGUCUCUUGGCAUUCAUUUGCUGGUGGCGGGCUCAGAUAUUUUACCUUGAGAAAAUUAGAGUGUUUCAGGCAGGCUAGGCCGGAAUACAUUAGCAUGGAAUAAUGGAAUAGGACUACGGUCUCUUUGUUGGUUUGAGGGACUGCAGUAAUGAUUAAUAGGGAUAGUUGGGGGCAUUAGUAUUUAAUUGUCAGAGGUGGAAUUCUCAGAUUUGUUAAAGACUAACUUAUGCGAAAGCAUUUGCCAAGGAUGUUUUCAUUAAUCAAGAACGAAAGUUAGGGGAUCAAAGACGAUCAGAUACCGUCCUAGUCUUAACCAUAAACUAUGCCGACUCGGGAUCGGGGGCGUGUUCUAUCCGCCUUCGGCACCGUAUGAGAAAUCAAAGUCUUUGGGUUCUGGGGGGAGUAUGGACGCAAGGCUGAAACUUAAAGGAAUUGAC